CCUACGGGAGGCUGCAGUAGGGAAUAUUGCUCAAUGGGGGAAACCCUGAAGCAGCAACGCCGCGUGGAGGAUGAAGGUUUUCGGAUUGUAAACUCCUUUUGUUAGAGAAGAUAAUGACGGUAUCUAACGAAUAAGCACCGGCUAACUCCGUGCCAGCAGCCGCGGUAAUACGGAGGGUGCAAGCGUUACUCGGAAUCACUGGGCGGAAAGAGCGCGGAGGCGGGAUAGCAAGUCAGAUGUGAAAUCCUAUGGCUUAACCAUAGAACUGCAUUUGAAACUGUUAUUCUAGAGUAUGGGAGAGGUAGGUGGAAUUCGUGGUGUAGGGGUAAAAUCCGUAGAGAUCAAGAGGAAUACUCAUUGCGAAGGCGACCUGCUAGAACAUAACUGACGCUGAUGCGCGAAAGCGUGGGGAGCAAACAGGAUUAGAUACCCUUGUAGUC
Molecule: ribosomal RNA, 440 nt
Filed under: uncultured bacterium
Lineage: Bacteria
Description: partial 16S ribosomal RNA
Rfam family: Bacterial small subunit ribosomal RNA
Source: RNAcentral